GUCAAGCUGGUGCAGUGGUAAACUUCUUUGUUUGGUAACAAGAAGUCACAAGUUCGAAUCUUGUACUUCUCU
Molecule: transfer RNA, 72 nt
Filed under: Helianthus annuus (common sunflower)
Lineage: Eukaryota; Viridiplantae; Streptophyta; Magnoliopsida; Asterales; Asteraceae
Description: tRNA-OTHER
Source: RNAcentral